AACUUGCUCUCUGGGUGGCGAGUGGCGGACGGGUGAGGAAUACAUCGGAAUCUACUCUGUCGUGGGGGAUAACGUAGGGAAACUUACGCUAAUACCGCAUACGACCUACGGGUGAAAGCAGGGGACCUUCGGGCCUUGCGCGAUUGAAUGAGCCGAUGUCGGAUUAGCUAGUUGGCGGGGUAAAGGCCCACCAAGGCGACGAUCCGUAGCUGGUCUGAGAGGAUGAUCAGCCACACUGGAACUGAGACACGGUCCAGACUCCUACGGGAGGCAGCAGUGGGGAAUAUUGGACAAUGGGCGCAAGCCUGAUCCAGCCAUACCGCGUGGGUGAAGAAGGCCUUCGGGUUGUAAAGCCCUUUUGUUGGGAAAGAAAUCCAGCCGGCUAAUACCCGGUUGGGAUGACGGUACCCAAAGAAUAAGCACCGGCUAACUUCGUGCCAGCAGCCGCGGUAAUACGAAGGGUGCAAGCGUUACUCGGAAUUACUGGGCGUAAAGCGUGCGUAGGUGGUCGUUUAAGUCCGUUGUGAAAGCCCUGGGCUCAACCUGGGAACUGC
RNAcentral lists this ribosomal RNA (554 nucleotides) under Stenotrophomonas sp. RNAcentral's name for it is "bacterial SSU rRNA". It matches the Rfam family "Bacterial small subunit ribosomal RNA", at positions 73 to 624 of the family's 1533-position model. The record is from RNAcentral. Lineage: Bacteria; Pseudomonadati; Pseudomonadota; Gammaproteobacteria; Lysobacterales; Lysobacteraceae.